Non-coding RNA from Micropterus salmoides (largemouth bass), 423 nucleotides. The record is from the annotation of a RefSeq genome assembly. Lineage: Eukaryota; Metazoa; Chordata; Actinopteri; Centrarchiformes; Centrarchidae.
GACAUGAACCACUGGCUGAGAAACAUCCUGAUUCUGACUCUCUGGCUAGAGUGUAAAGGAGAAGACAGAGUGACCCAGCCAGCAGGAGAUGUCAUUGCUGCUGAAGGAGACACAGUUACACUUGGCUGUACUUUUGAGACGAGUAGAACAGGUCCAACUUUGUUCUGGUACAAACAGGAUGGAAACAACAGCCCCAAAUUCAUGUUGAGCCGCAUGCAAGGGGUCGAAGUAAAAACAGAGGGCGAGUUUAAGGAGAGAUUUUCAUCCACACUGGAUUCCACCUCAAGAUCAGUUCCUCUGAAGAUCCAGAAGCUUCAGCUGUCUGACUCUGCUGUUGUUACCCGAGUGAGGACAAAGAACUACGGGGAGGCGGCCUUUAGUGUGCAGCCUGCCAGAGGAGCUGAGGGCAUCACAAUCUGUUAA